GACGAACGCUGGCGGCGUGCCUAAUACAUGCAAGUAGAACGCACAGUUUAUACCGUAGCUUGCUACACCAUAGACUGUGAGUUGCGAACGGGUGAGUAACGCGUAGGUAACCUGCCUGGUAGCGGGGGAUAACUAUUGGAAACGAUAGCUAAUACCGCAUAAUAUUAAUUAUUGCAUGAUAAUUAAUUGAAAGGUGCAAUUGCACCACUACCAGAUGGACCUGCGUUGUAUUAGCUAGUAGGUGAGGUAACGGCUCACCUAGGCGACGAUACAUAGCCGACCUGAGAGGGUGAUCGGCCACACUGGGACUGAGACACGGCCCAGACUCCUACGGGAGGCAGCAGUAGGGAAUCUUCGGCAAUGGACGAAAGUCUGACCGUGCAACGCCGCGUGAGUGAAGAAGGUUUUCGGAUCGUAAAGCUCUGUUGUAAGAGAAGAACGGGUGUGAGAGUGGAAAGUUCACACUGUGACGGUAUCUUACCAGAAAGGGACGGCUAACUACGUG
This 505-nucleotide ribosomal RNA is filed under the name uncultured bacterium. RNAcentral's name for it is "partial 16S ribosomal RNA". It matches the Rfam family "Bacterial small subunit ribosomal RNA", at positions 28 to 507 of the family's 1533-position model. The record is from RNAcentral.